AAAGAAACAAUGUGGUCCGGCAUUAACAAUAAAAAAGCAAGGAGUAGAGGAAUCCCGUGUGAUUCGGGAACUGUGCCGCAACGGUGACCCCGCUUCGCGUAAAGCUACGCGGGGCGAGGAAGUCCGGAACUCUUCCUUACUUGAUUCAUCCCG
RNAcentral lists this non-coding RNA (153 nucleotides) under Candidatus Gottesmaniibacteriota. The record is from RNAcentral.